RNAcentral lists this ribosomal RNA (751 nucleotides) under Bacillus altitudinis. RNAcentral describes it as "bacterial SSU rRNA". It matches the Rfam family "Bacterial small subunit ribosomal RNA", at positions 51 to 785 of the family's 1533-position model. The record is from RNAcentral. Lineage: Bacteria; Bacillati; Bacillota; Bacilli; Caryophanales; Bacillaceae.
AUACAUGCAAGUCGAGCGGACAGAAGGGAGCUUGCUCCCGGAUGUUAGCGGCGGACGGGUGAGUAACACGUGGGUAACCUGCCUGUAAGACUGGGAUAACUCCGGGAAACCGGAGCUAAUACCGGAUAGUUCCUUGAACCGCAUGGUUCAAGGAUGAAAGACGGUUUCGGCUGUCACUUACAGAUGGACCCGCGGCGCAUUAGCUAGUUGGUGAGGUAACGGCUCACCAAGGCGACGAUGCGUAGCCGACCUGAGAGGGUGAUCGGCCACACUGGGACUGAGACACGGCCCAGACUCCUACGGGAGGCAGCAGUAGGGAAUCUUCCGCAAUGGACGAAAGUCUGACGGAGCAACGCCGCGUGAGUGAUGAAGGUUUUCGGAUCGUAAAGCUCUGUUGUUAGGGAAGAACAAGUGCAAGAGUAACUGCUUGCACCUUGACGGUACCUAACCAGAAAGCCACGGCUAACUACGUGCCAGCAGCCGCGGUAAUACGUAGGUGGCAAGCGUUGUCCGGAAUUAUUGGGCGUAAAGGGCUCGCAGGCGGUUUCUUAAGUCUGAUGUGAAAGCCCCCGGCUCAACCGGGGAGGGUCAUUGGAAACUGGGAAACUUGAGUGCAGAAGAGGAGAGUGGAAUUCCACGUGUAGCGGUGAAAUGCGUAGAGAUGUGGAGGAACACCAGUGGCGAAGGCGACUCUCUGGUCUGUAACUGACGCUGAGGAGCGAAAGCGUGGGGAGCGAACAGGAUUAGAUAC